UCAAGCUUUUGACGAUGUGUUAGAUAUCUUGCUUCUUUAGCGUGGAUAUUAUUAUCUUGCUUCGCCACGCUCUGAUUGGACUCGGCCAGAUCUUCAUUCUUCUUCGUCAAAAUUUCAUUCUUCGGAAGCAGGUCGACAUUUAUAUCUAUGAUGACCCGAUGUGUGGCCCUGGUCGUCUCCAACUCUUUUUUGACCUUGUCGAGAUCCUUCCGAAGGCACUCAUUGUUGAGGAGAACAAUGUCAAGGUUGCUUCUUUCUUUUGCCAACACAGACUUCAGAAUGGCUUUCUCCCUUCGGGCGGUAUUCUCUUCGGUAU
RNAcentral lists this long non-coding RNA (316 nucleotides) under Panax ginseng (ginseng). Its description in RNAcentral is "long non-coding RNA (PGIN_LNC010675)". The record is from RNAcentral. Lineage: Eukaryota; Viridiplantae; Streptophyta; Magnoliopsida; Apiales; Araliaceae.